Molecule: ribosomal RNA, 244 nt
Filed under: uncultured bacterium
Lineage: Bacteria
Description: partial small subunit ribosomal RNA
Rfam family: Bacterial small subunit ribosomal RNA
Source: RNAcentral
AGAAUCAACGCUGGCGGCGUGCCUAACACAUGCAAGUCGAACGAGAAAGUGGAGCAAUCCAUGAGUAAAGUGGCGCACGGGUGAGUAACACGUGACUAACCUACCCUUGAGUGGGGGAUAACCUAGAGAAACCUGGGCUAAUACCGCAUAAUACCUUCGGGUCAAAGGAGCAAUUCGCUUAAGGAGGGGUCGCGGCCGAUUAGUUAGUUGGCGGGGUAAUGGCCCACCAAGACUGUGAUCGGUA